Molecule: unclassified non-coding RNA, 352 nt
Filed under: soil metagenome
Description: partial contains 5.8S ribosomal RNA, internal transcribed spacer 2, and large subunit ribosomal RNA
Rfam family: 5.8S ribosomal RNA (bases 1-120)
Source: RNAcentral
GAUGAAGAACGUAGUGAAAUGCGAUAAGUAAUGUGAAUUGCAGAACUCAGUGAAUCAUCGAAUCUUUGAACGCACAUUGCGCCCGCCAGCACUCUGGCGGGCAUGCCUGUCCGAGCGUCAUUUCAACCCUCGCGCCGUCCCUCCAGGGGGCUCGGCGCGGUGUUGGGGGACUCGGCCCCGGCCGCCCCCGAAAUGCAGUGGCGACCCCGCCGCGGCCCCUCCAGCGCAGUAAGCACGCUCGCUACGGGAGGCCCGGUGGACGCGUCCGCCGUAAAACGCCCAACUCUUCAGAAGUUGACCUCGGAUCAGGUAGGGAUACCCGCUGAACUUAAGCAUAUCAAUAAGCGGAGGA